This 253-nucleotide ribosomal RNA is filed under the name uncultured bacterium. RNAcentral describes it as "partial 16S ribosomal RNA". It matches the Rfam family "Bacterial small subunit ribosomal RNA", at positions 524 to 776 of the family's 1533-position model. The record is from RNAcentral.
UACGGAGGAUCCAAGCGUUAUCCGGAUUUAUUGGGUUUAAAGGGUGUGUAGGCGGGUAGUUAAGUCAGUGGUGAAAUCUCCAGGCUCAACCUGGAAACUGCCAUUGAUACUAUCUAUCUUGAAUACUGUUGAGGUAGGCGGAAUAAGUCAUGUAGCGGUGAAAUGCAUAGAUAUGACUUAGAACACCAAUUGCGAAGGCAGCUUACUAAACAGUUAUUGACGCUGAGGCACGAAAGCGUGGGGAUCAAACAGG